This 407-nucleotide ribosomal RNA is filed under the name uncultured bacterium. RNAcentral describes it as "bacterial SSU rRNA". It matches the Rfam family "Bacterial small subunit ribosomal RNA", at positions 509 to 916 of the family's 1533-position model. The record is from RNAcentral.
CAGCAGCCGCGGUAAUACGUAGGGUGCAAGCGUUAAUCGGAAUUACUGGGCGUAAAGCGUGCGCAGGCGGUUUUGUAAGUCUGAUGUGAAAUCCCCGGGCUCAACCUGGGAAUUGCAUUGGAGACUGCAAGGCUAGAAUCUGGCAGAGGGGGGUAGAAUUCCACGUGUAGCAGUGAAAUGCGUAGAGAUGUGGAGGAACACCGAUGGCGAAGGCAGCCCCCUGGGUCAAGAUUGACACUCAUGCACGAAAGCGUGGGGAGCAAACAGGAUUAGAUACCCUGGUAGUCCACGCCCUAAACGAUGUCUACUAGUUGUCGGGUUUUAAUUAACUUGGUAACGCAGCUAACGCGUGAAGUAGACCGCCUGGGGAGUACGGUCGCAAGAUUAAAACUCAAAGGAAUUGACGG